Adelges cooleyi (spruce gall adelgid) is the source of this 288-nucleotide long non-coding RNA. RefSeq lists it as uncharacterized. The record is from RefSeq and is a predicted model, not a curated record. The transcript is spliced from 3 exons. Lineage: Eukaryota; Metazoa; Arthropoda; Insecta; Hemiptera; Adelgidae.
CGGAAUUACAGAAAUUAUUAUACGAAGAGUUCCAAGUAUUUCUCACCAUUCGCCAAGCAAAUGAAUACACAUAUUUAAUUAAUUUAAAGAAAAACUAUGAAAUAGGAUUGAAACAGGUGAAAAAAAUGAGACCGAUAAUAAUUAUUUUAUCACUGCGAAAAACCAGAAAGGAGGAUGAAAAUUCUAUUGAAAACUAUUAUCUGUCUAGAGAAGUUUUCGCCGAAAAAAUUGCGAGUUAUUUUACAGAACUGUUCUUAGACAAGAGAGAAGUUUUAGAAGUACUCAAAG